Molecule: ribosomal RNA, 471 nt
Filed under: Triticum aestivum (bread wheat)
Lineage: Eukaryota; Viridiplantae; Streptophyta; Magnoliopsida; Poales; Poaceae
Description: partial small subunit ribosomal RNA
Source: RNAcentral
AUGAAGAGCAAGGCUGCCAGGGCGGCGAGCGCGGCGUGCAUGCCGCGGCUGACGAGGGGCAGGUGCCGCGCGUCCACGGCGCGGCCGGCCGCGUCGGUGUCGCUGCUCGAGCGCAUCCGCGACGUCGUGCUCCGCCUCAUCAUGCUCACCGCGGUCUCCAAGGCCUCUGUGCGGCGCAGCAGCAGCAGCAGGAACUCCUCGCCGCGCGCCGGUGCUGCCGGGGCCGUGACGUGCCGCCGGGACGACUCCAUAAGGAACGAGGCCGUGGAGGAGUGCAUCGAGUUCCUGAAGCGCUCGUCGGCCGAAGGCGAGGCGGUCAAGCUGUCCAGCGUCACCGCCGAGGCGGUUGCCGCUGCCGUUGCCGCGGAGAACGAUCCGGAGCCGAAGCGCCUGUCCAGCUCCAGCGUCGUGGAUGCCGUAGCUGCCGGCGUCGAGGACACCACACGUUCGGCCUCGCCGUCCAUCGUCUGA